RNAcentral lists this ribosomal RNA (253 nucleotides) under uncultured bacterium. RNAcentral describes it as "partial 16S ribosomal RNA". It matches the Rfam family "Bacterial small subunit ribosomal RNA", at positions 524 to 776 of the family's 1533-position model. The record is from RNAcentral.
UACGUAGGGUGCAGGCGCUAAUCGGAAUUACUGGGCGUAAAGCGUGCGCAGGCGGUUUCUUAAGUCAGAUGUGAAAGCCCCGGGCUUAACCUGGGAACUGCGUUUGAAACUGGGAGACUUGAGUGUGGCAGAGGGGGGUGGAAUUCCACGUGUAGCAGUGAAAUGCGUAGAUAUGUGGAGGAACACCGAUGGCGAAGGCAGCCCCCUGGGUUAACACUGACGCUCAUGCACGAAAGCCAGGGGAGCGAACAGG